Molecule: ribosomal RNA, 294 nt
Filed under: uncultured soil bacterium
Lineage: Bacteria
Description: partial 16S ribosomal RNA
Rfam family: Bacterial small subunit ribosomal RNA
Source: RNAcentral
AGAUUGAACGCUGGCGGCAGGCCUAACACAUGCAAGUCGAGCGGUAGAGAGGUGCUUGCAUCUCUUGAGAGCGGCGGACGGGUGAGUAAUGCCUAGGAAUCUGCCUAGUGGUGGGGGAUAACGUUCGGAAACGGACGCUAAUACCGCAUACGUCCUACGGGAGAAAGCGGGGGACCUUCGGGCCUCGCGCCAUUAGAUGAGCCUAGGUCGGAUUAGCUAGUUGGUGAGGUAAUGGCUCACCAAGGCGACGAUCCGUAACUGGUCUGAGAGGAUGAUCAGUCACACGUGGAACUG